CCUACGGGAGGCAGCAGUGAGGAAUAUUGGUCAAUGGGCGGAAGCCUGAACCAGCCAAGUCGCGUGAGGGAUUAAGGCCCUGCGGGUCGCAAACCUCUUUUGCCGGGGAGCAGUGGUCCGGACGCGUCCGGACUGGGAGAGUACCCGGAGAAAAAGCAUCGGCUAACUCCGUGCCAGCAGCCGCGGUAAUACGGGGGAUGCGAGCGUUAUCCGGAUUUAUUGGGUUUAAAGGGUGCGUGGGCGGGCAUUUAAGCCGGCGGUCAAAUGUCGGGGCUCAACCCCGGCCUGCCGUCGGAACUGGGGGCCUUGAGUGGGCGAGAAGUAUGCGGAAUGCGUGGUGUAGCGGUGAAAUGCAUAGAUAUCACGCAGAACCCCGAUUGCGAAGGCAGCAUACCGGCGCCCGACUGACGCUGAGGCACGAAAGUGCGGGUAUCGAACAGGAUUAGAUACCCUUGUAGUC
RNAcentral lists this ribosomal RNA (460 nucleotides) under uncultured bacterium. RNAcentral's name for it is "partial 16S ribosomal RNA". It matches the Rfam family "Bacterial small subunit ribosomal RNA", at positions 338 to 795 of the family's 1533-position model. The record is from RNAcentral.